This is a non-coding RNA of Anas platyrhynchos (mallard), 3749 nucleotides long. The record is from RefSeq and is a predicted model, not a curated record. NCBI's taxonomy places the organism in Eukaryota, Metazoa, Chordata, Aves, Anseriformes, Anatidae.
GGGAGAUCCGCCUCCCGUCGGGAGCGCUGCACAGCGCCCUUUAAAGGAGCAGAAACCCGCUUUCUCCGCGGCCGCCGCUCCGCGCUCGCCGCAACGCCGAGCCCCGCGCCGGCGGCAGGGCUCCGCGGGCGGCCGGCGAAGCAGAAACGCUCCCGGCUCUCCCUCCCCCGCCACCGCCCGAGGGGCCGAGCUCGCCAGGAGGCGCCCUUCCAAGGCACGAAAAAUCUGAUCGGGGUCCCGCAGCCUGUUUUGCAAACACAGAGGAUUGCUUUAAUGGUGCUAUAGAGCUGAGAAGAGUUUUUGAAGAUGGAUUAUCAUGUUCAAAGGAUAAGUGACAAGAUCAUGCUCAGGAUAAGUGACAAGAUCAUGCUCAGGAUAAAACAACUGCUUUUCUAUUUCAGUAUACUUUUUAUUAUUAUUUAUUAAUGAAUCUUACAACUUUGGAGAUAAUAGGCUAACUGUUCUUCAGUAAUGCUACUCAUAAUCCAAAAUCACUAUUGGUUUGAAUUGCUACCAUCUCCAUCCUGCUAUAAUAUCUGAUUUUUUUUUUUCCCUGUAAUUACCAAAAAUCGAUUGUUGUGAGGAUUUCCCAAGCAACACAGAAUCUGUACGGGAUAAUUGUAAAUGAUCCAUGAAACUGUAAGGACUUGGAGAAAAUUAACUGAUAACUGAUGAGUUCUGCUCUAACAACAUUUUAAUGUACGGUAAACAGCUGAAUCUCAGAACUUGUAUACUUCGAGCUACUUUUCCUAUUUUUUUUUUUUAAGCUAAAAACAAGUUCUUGAAUAACAUCUGCAAACGUGUGUCAGUCUUUACAUGUGUUUAAAAAUGUUUCAUUUUUGUAGUGUAUAGGGCUGGCUAAAGAACUGUUGCAAUUCUAUAAAAUAGAAAUAAUAAAUAAAAAAAUGAAAUAGUAAAUAAGAUUUGGAAAAACUGGGGAAUCUCUAAGAAACAUGUAUAUGAAAGACUUUCUCAGUGAGUUUCAGGUAGACUUCAAAACUGUAUCUGGAAGCCAAAUAAUUAACAAACUAAAAUCUCAGCUAUUGAGAGAUUAAAUUAUAUUGUCAAACCACAGGAGACACCAGUAUAAAAAGAGGCACUGAUCUGCAUCUAUUUUCGACUCAUUUUAGUGAACAUUGUUGAAGUAAGAAUAUAGAAAAGAUCAACAAAGUCUUCAAUAAUGCUAAGGGGGCAUUAAAAAAUCUAAAUGUCAUAUGAAUAUAAGACAAGUAGACAACAAGGCAGGAUUUAAAAAACAACAACAAGCAGAAAAUAUUGUUCAAUAACAAGAUGUGAAGCUAGUUUACCAAAUUACAAUUAAGCUAAAAUAAAAUUAAAAAAAAAAUUAAAAAAAAAAAAAGAAUGAACAAAAUAGUAUAUGGCCCACAUUCUUGACAAGUCUGAAAGCUCCUGAAUUUAUCCUUGAAAUACUUAUCAAAAUUUGAACAUUAUUCCAUGUUAGAACUUCUGCGGGCACAGUCCACUAUAGGUGAAAAUCAGUUCAUGAAAAUAAAGAUGCAUAAAGUCUUCAGUAUGGUUAGACUAAAACAGCUGAUUGAACAUCUCAAGUAAAUAUAUAUAUAAAAAUAUAUUUGAAACAGAAGCAGUAUGUACAUUUGGUGCAAUUAUGAAGCAUUCUCUUUUCAAAAUGGGCUCCAGCUGUGAUUCUAUAUAAGCCUGAAAGACAGGCAGCUGGUUUAAGAGCACAGUAUACAUAGGUCAGUAUGGGGUUGUUAUUCAGUGUUUGUUGCUAAUAACUGUACAGAAGCCAAAGUGGAAAACCUGACUAACUGGAUGUUAUUCGAGAUAUCACAUUAUGAAUAGAUAGGCAUAUUAAUUUUGUAAGUUCAAUUGAUAAAGAAUUAAAAUUAAUACAAAAGAACAAGUAGUAGGUCCCUUUGGACUUCCUGUGUAAAAGAAAAGCUUUUGAGAAGUACACUGGGUUCAUUAGACCAAAGAAAGCAACAGGGUGAGAGUCAUAUACACAGUGACAAGAUAUUAAUUCUGAAAUGAUAAUUACAUUCAAAGUCAGUAGAUCACAGAGGAACUGUGUAAACAAAUCUGGUAUGGUUCCCCUCUUUAUAAUAGCACUGUCGAGAUUAGUUAUUGGCAAAAUUCAAAGGUUUAAAAGUUCAGCAGUGAUUUGCAUUCUAAAUUUUAGAGGCUUACUUGAAUAUGUUUUAGCUUAAAGCUUUAGUGCAAAAAUAAGGUGAAUAUUCUAGUAAGUGAUUACCUUUCAUUUCCUGGUCUCAGACAUAAUAGAAGAGCCAAAGUUACAAUAAUAUCCAUCCAUCAUAUGCCAAGUGGUCACUUUUUAAAGAAGCCUGUUCUCAUUCUCUUCAGCUAAUCUUCAUAUGGCUCUCACCCAGCUUCCUCUGGCCAUCAACAAAAAAUAUCCAUUCUAUUAAUUUUCUCCAUCUUCUUGUCUUUCAGGAGGUUAAGAAAAAUAUUUGAUGUUCUUUAUAGAAUUCCACUGAAUAUAAGCUUAAGUCUCAGCUCUCUGAUCCAUAGAAUACUUUGGUAGUCAAGGAAAUUAGUUCUUACUUUGACAGAAGAGACUCCUUUGCAACUAGUCAGAAAAACAGUGAAAUCAUGUAAUUUUUUUUUUCUUUCUACAAGACAAAUCAUAUGCAGAGCAAGUCCCAAAAUAAACUUUUAUCAAUCCAUCAACAUUAGUGAAACUGCAACUUAGUUCCACAGCUUAACACCAACUAGUGUGUCACUAUGUGAUUCAUACCUAAUUACUAUUUUAAGUUAUUAUCAUUAUUGAUGAGAAAAAUAUGGCCAGAAGUUCUGGCUCACGUAGUAAAUAUCAUUUAUGACCAAGACAUGCAGAAUGCUUUCCAGAGUUAUGAGGAGAGAAGGAACUCCAUACUAGAGAAUAAUAAAGCAAGGCAUCUGGAUUACCUUGCAAUGUCCUCAGUAGGACUUGGUCUUUUCAAAAUGCUACACUAGGAUUUUUACAUAAUAUUACACUUCCUGACAUCAGAUCAUUGCCACAGCAGGACAGACACUGUUGUGCACUGCCCUGCUACACUUGAGCAAGCGUGUCGUAGUAGCCACAAACUGACCAUUCUUGGACCAACUGAGGUGAGGAAAUAUUGUUGAGACAUAAUGAUAUGUACCAAUUUCUAGCAAAACUUGAGGUUUUACUGGGAAUUAAAGUAACAAUAAGAUUCCAAAACUCUGACAAUUUUCCCAUAGUCCAGAAAAUAUCCUUUUGUUUAAAACAGUAAAGGAGACUCAAGAAGAAAAAAAAAUGACAGUGAAUAUUUUACGGUAGGGUUGAUAUAUAUGAGCAGCAAAAUGUUUGGUGCUUUGGGCCAAUUAAAAAUAUUCAAGUUUGUUCAACUGGUAAAAAAUAAACUGAAGUAGAAAACGAAUGAUAAGAAUGGGAUAUUUCACUUCUAAAAAUUAACACUCUUGCAGGCAUAGACAUAUUUUACUUUCACACUGAUGCACUGCACCAGUAGCUUCCAGCAGCAAAUGACAGAGUAUAUCUCAUACAAAAAUAAAACCUCUACACUUCAACCAUUUCUUUAAAAGAGCCUGUAUAAAUAUUACACCAUUGUAAAUUCAACAGUUAUCAAGACAGCACCAGAUGUAGAUUUAUCCUAGAGGAUUUUAUGUGUUUUGCAGCACUAUGUCUCAUAAAAACUGCAAUAAAUAUGCUAAUUUUUAAUGUCUUCAUACUUUAGUUUCAUGUGUUAUCAACUUAUAAAACAAAGAUUAAAUGUAUAUGGAUAUUA